CUCGCCUAUCGGAUUCCCCUCUCUGUGCUGCCGCUGGAUAACUGCCUCUCUGUGAUCGGACCUGGACCCCCCUGGAUUACGCCCCUGGAUUUCCCUGAACGGAUCGUCUGCCCCCCUGUAGUCGCUCUACGGCUUCAGCCCUGGAACCCCGGCCCGAAGUUAAAGCCCAAGCUUUGGAGUCCCACUACCAGGGAGGUUUCCAGUCACAGAGCGCGCAGCGAGCUCCGAGUGCCUGCGGCGGCGUAUCUAAAAUAAACUUGUUUAAAUGCCA
This is a long non-coding RNA of Fundulus heteroclitus (mummichog), 271 nucleotides long. RefSeq lists it as uncharacterized. The record is from RefSeq and is a predicted model, not a curated record. NCBI's taxonomy places the organism in Eukaryota, Metazoa, Chordata, Actinopteri, Cyprinodontiformes, Fundulidae. The transcript is spliced from 2 exons.